CCUACGGGAGGCAGCAGUGGGGAAUAUUGGGCAAUGGGCGCAAGCCUGACCCAGCAACGCCGCGUGAGGGAAGAAGGCUUUCGGGUUGUAAACUUCUGUCAAGAGGGAAGAGCCGUAUACGGUACCUCUUGAAUAAACCACGGCUAACUACGUGCCAGCAGCCGCGGUAAUACGUAGGUGGCAAGCGUGGUACGUAUUUACGGGGGGUAAAGGGCGUGUAGCCGGGCUGACAAGUCAGAUGUGAAAUUCCGGUGCUCAACCUGGGACCUGCAUGUGAAACUGUUGGUCUUGAGUAUCUGAGAGGCUGGCGGAAUUCCUAGUGUAGCGGUGAAAUGCAUAGAUAUCACGCAGAACUCCGAUUGCGAAGGCAGCAUUCUGGCGCACGACUGACGCUGAGGAACGAAAGCGUGGGUAUCGAACAGGAUUAGAUACCCUAGUAGUC
Molecule: ribosomal RNA, 442 nt
Filed under: uncultured bacterium
Lineage: Bacteria
Description: partial 16S ribosomal RNA
Rfam family: Bacterial small subunit ribosomal RNA
Source: RNAcentral